CCUACGGGAGGCUGCAGUGAGGAAUAUUGGUCAAUGGGCGGAAGCCUGAACCAGCCAAGUAGCGUGCAUGAUGAAGGCCCUACGGGUUGUAAACUGCUUUUAUACGGGAAUAACGCGCCUUACGUGUAGGGCUUUGCAUGUACCGUAUGAUUACGGACCGGCUAAUUCCGUGCCAGCGGCCGCGGUAAUACGGAAGGUCCGGGCGUUAUCCGGAUUUAUUGGGGUUAAAGGGAGCGUAGGCCGCAGGGCAAGCGUGCUGUGAAAUGUCCGGGCUCAACCCGGGCCUUGCAGCGCGAACUGGCCGGCUUGAGGGCGCGGAAAGCAGGCGGAAUUCGUGGUGUAGCGGUGAAAUGCUUAGAUAUGACGAAGAACCCCGAUGGCGAAGGCAGCUUGCUGCAGCGGAACUGACGCUGAUGCUCGAAAGCGCGGGUAUCGAACAGGAUUAGAUACCCCAGUAGUC
Molecule: ribosomal RNA, 460 nt
Filed under: uncultured bacterium
Lineage: Bacteria
Description: partial 16S ribosomal RNA
Rfam family: Bacterial small subunit ribosomal RNA
Source: RNAcentral